GACGAACCGUGCGAACGUUGUUCGGAAUCACUGGGCUUAAAGGGCGCGUAGGCGGGCUGCCAAGUCCGGGGUGAAAUCCCACGGCUCAACCGUGGAACUGCCUUGGAUACUGGCGGCCUCGAGGGAGGUAGGGGCAUGCGGAACUGUGGGUGGAGCGGUGAAAUGCGUUGAUAUCCACAGGAACUCCGGUGGCGAAAGCGGCGUGCUGGACCUUUUCUGACGCUGAGUGCGCGAAAGCUAGGGGAGCAAACGGG
This 254-nucleotide ribosomal RNA is filed under the name uncultured bacterium. Its description in RNAcentral is "partial 16S ribosomal RNA". It matches the Rfam family "Bacterial small subunit ribosomal RNA", at positions 524 to 776 of the family's 1533-position model. The record is from RNAcentral.